UCUCAUAACUUAUUCCAAUAAUGUCUUGUUCCAAACCGAAAAAAACGGUCUACCUCAUUCGCCACGGACAGAGUUUGCAUAACGUUUAUGAGGUGGAGGCUACUGCGGCAUCUUACAAGGAUCCAAAUAUUUUUGAUUCAGAUUUGAGCAGUUUAGGCGUUGAACAGGCUACUGCUUUAGCUGAAAUUACAGCUCCUUUUAUUGAUCAAGUUGAAUUGGUUGUAGUUUCACCUCUUACCAGAUCUAUCCAGACUUGCUUAAAGGCAGGAUUUUUCUCAAAAAAGAAACCUAUUUUGGUUUCUCCGAUGUGUAGAGAACAAGUAACAAAUGGCUGCGAUUUAGGACUGCUGAAGUCAGAUCUUGUCAAUAAAUUUCCAGAAUUAAACUUUGAUCUCAUCGACAAGGAAAUGUGGUGGUAUAUCCCUCCGGAGCUCAAGGCGGAUAUAAGGUCAGACAACUAUACCGAAAUGUGGAAAAAACAUCCUUAUAUCGAACCAGAGGAUUAUCUGUUUGAACGAGUUGAAAUGUUCCGUCAGUGGCUCCGUGAUCGUCCAGAGCAGCUGAUCGUCGUUGUCGGGCAUUCUAAUUUUUUCAGGCGAUUUCUAGGCAUGGUCGACAUUCUUCAAAACUGCGAAGUCUAUAAGACUACUGUCUAGCCGUAUCAAAGCUGUUCUUCGGAAUGAUCUUCAAAAUUUUUUCUCUGCAUAGGCGGUAUUUUUCUUGGCUGAAUACGCGCAAAUUGUGAUUUUUGAUGUUCUUUUCAUCAUGCCUCAGCUUCUCGAAGCUUGCAAUACUUUCUCUUUUUUAAAUGUAAACACCAUAAACGAAUUAAUUUUCUUUUUUUAUUUGUUACAUCUCUUUACUACUUUGUUUGCUUUUGGCCCAGAUUCAGGGUAUUUGAUGCCGAAUGAGUCUACAAAACGCAAUAGACACAGAAUCCAAAAACGCUUUUGAAACCCCUAGUGUUUAUAAAAAAUAUUUGUAUGGCGCUCUCUCAGGAAUGGUCGAGGUAACCACUACCCAUUGGAUCGAUGUGCUCAAAACCCACAUACAGACAGAAAAAGCGGCCAACAUUAACAUACGCAUCUCAGAUACGGUAAGAAAAAUUUGGCAUCAAGAAGGGUUCAAAGGGUUCUAUCGUGGUUACAUUUCAAGAAUGGUGGGUAUCGGGCCUAUGAGAGCCUCUCUUUGGGGUACAAUGGACCAUAUGAAUGAUACAUUGGUUCAUACUUCACUUGAUGAAGCUAGUCGCCUUCUUACUUCUGGUGCUAUUGGUGGCAUUGUUCAGAGCAUAUGCGAUAUUCCUGUUGAAGUCACCAAAACACAACUUAUCACAAGCAAAUCUAUAAAAUUAAAGCAAGCAAUACUUGAAGCUAUGAAAUUUCGCGGUGCCGGCGCUACGCUUUCGCGUAAUUCUAUAUUUGCUAUGGUCAUGAAUUGUGGCAUUAACUACCAGCACUCACCAGCGACUCCAAAAAGUGAAACAAUAACUCGCGCGGCCGUAUUCGCCCUCUUCGCAACUUUUAUUACUCAACCUUUGGAUUAUGUCAAAACGCUACAACAAAAAGCCGGGAAACUAUCCGAUAUCAACUUCGUCAAGUUGUUAGUACAGACAGGCCGCCAGAAUUUUUAUAUGCUCUGGACUGGUCUUCUUAGCCGUACGAUUUUGUCUAUUUCAACAAUGAGCGUGGGCGCAACAACUUUCAAACAGCUACAACACUCUGACUACAGGUAAAAAAUUUUAAUUUGUUCGGACGUCAUAGUAUGUUUGCUUUGUGAAAACCUGUUCGGCAAUCAGGAGAAAAAGUAAUCAACUUUUUCUAUGACGACAAUGAAAAUUGUUAUGUACACAUAAGUCCAAAGCAUACAUGGGCACAUGGGCUAUCUCAAUUGUAGUAAACUCAGAGGGUCUGUUCUAUAAGGCGCCAUUAAAUGUUCAAACUUAUAGAUAGACUGUCUAGCUAACUAUAAGUCCAUCGAAUCAUACCGAAUUUCGGAAAUAUGCCGACACUACUCUAGAUAAUGUUGUAUAUUUUACGAUAUAAUUUGUAUCUAGCGCAAAUAACGGCAAAUGUACCAAUUUUUUUGACGUUUUUUUGGGUAUUGUCAUUGCCCUUGCUGCUCUAACACAUAUGGUAAACAAACAAGCAGUGUGUCUAUUUACCAAGUGCAAGUAAUGGCGUAGCUCAUUUCAUCGUAUAAAGUCCUCGUAAACACUUAUUACUGAUUUUCAAAGAAAUAAAAUCGCAUUCUAUUUUUCGCCUAGAUUUUUUUCAUUCUUGUUCUACGUGCUAGUACUUCACGUUGAAUUGGGCACGUUUGCUUGACUGAUACUUAGCAAUUAGAGAGCAGUGAUUUUUUGUGAGAAAGCAUGGGUGUGUGUACUAGUCGUAUUUCGGAAGACACCGAUGCGACCAGGCGUGACCGUGAAAUCAAUAAGACGCUCAAGUCAGAUGCACGCCGCAUGGAUAAUGAGAUUCGCUUACUGCUGCUUGGCUCUGGAGAAUCUGGAAAGUCUACUAUCGCUAAACAGAUGAAAAUCAUUCAUAUGAAUGGCUUCACUGUAGAAGAAAGAGAGAGUUACAGGUCAGUUAUCCUUCAAAACAUUUUUAUUGCACUAAAAACACUUUUAGAGCAGUCUCAAAAUUUUGAGUAUAAACUUCAUCGGCAUAAUCGCUCUUUGCGCAGUAAAUAUCUGUCCUAUGAAAGCGAUUUUUCCGUUACUGGGAUCACUCCGGAAAUGGCCAAAGAUAUUAGCUCUCUGUGGAAUGAUGAGGGUAUUCAAAAUACCUUUGCACGACGUUCUGAAUACCAGCUUUCUGACUCGGCAUCAUAUUACUUGGGUGAAAUAGAACGUAUUGGUACGCCUGACUAUGUACCAAAUGAACAGGAUGUGCUCCGAUCGCGCGCCAAAACGACUGGUAUUAUUGAAAUUCAUUUUCGCAUUGGACAAACAGAUUUUUCUUUAAUUGACGUAGGCGGUCAGCGUUCAGAAAGAAAAAAAUGGAUGAACUGUUUUCAAGGAAUUACUGCUCUCAUCUACUGUGUAUCACUUUCGGAUUAUGAUCUGAAACUUGAAGAAGAUAAUGAAACUAAUCGAAUGCAAGAGUCAUUAACGCUGUUUGGUCAAAUUUGUAAUUCUAAAUGGUUUGUUGACACAUCAAUUAUUUUAUUCUUGAACAAGUCUGAUUUAUUUCAAGAAAAAAUCAAGAAAGUGCCAUUAACUGCUUGUUUCGAAGACUGGGAUGAGAAUAAUAGAGAUUGGAAAGAGGCAGCCAAUUUUAUAGCCAAUAAGUUCAAGAGAAAAAGACAGGAAGGCAAGCCUAUAUAUAUCCAAAUUACAUGUGCAACUGAUACAAAAAAUGUUGACUUUGUUUUUAACGCUGUAAAAGACACAAUUAUUCAACAGGCUUUACAAGCUACGGGCUUCACUUUAUAAAUAGUGCAACACCUAUUAGUUAGUAAAAGAAAAUUCUUUGUAAAUCUUACUGCAGCCAGUUAGUUGUAUAUCUGUGAUAUUUUUAACUUUAACGUAAGAUCAGUCCCAUCUGUCACAUCUUCAAAAAACCAAGGAAUUCAUGUGAAUCAUUCAUUACUGGUGUUUGGUUUAUUACAUCCGUUGCCUAGUAUUAUGAUAUUAUGCCAUUUAUGCGACAAAAAGAUACCCGAUACGGAAGCCCGAAACUUUUCGUGAAUACUUAAAAGCGCAUUAUGCUAUUAGUAAUUAAUAUUUUGGUUGUACAUAUUAUGAUAGUGCUACUGCAGCAUUAUGACGCUUUGAUACGAGGGAAAAAAUAAUCUGUGCAACAUAAAAGCAAUUCUAAAGCCAGGAACUAAUGACGAUGUACUUGUCGAAUUUUUUUAAAAAAUUUUGGUAAUUUAUUGGUUUUAGCGUCGAUUUGUAGUUGAUAGACGACGCCUUAUUAUUUCAUGCCGGCAUCGGAAGUAAAUCCGAAAGCGUUUCCGCUAGCUGGAGACGAUCUUACUGUGGUCAUUUUAGAUAUUGUCAAACAGGCCAGUAACCACAAGCAGCUGAGAAGAGGGGCUAAUGAGGCUACCAAAACCCUGAAUCGCUCAAAAGCCGAUAUCAUUAUUUUGGCGGCGGAUGCUGAGCCAUUGGAAGUUUUGCUUCAUCUCCCGUUGGUUUGCGAAGACAAGAGCGUUCCGUAUGUAUUUGUUCCUAGUAAAGUGGCUCUUGGAAGAGCAUGUGGCGUUUCUAGACCAGUUAUAGCCUGCUCUAUUCUGAUUAAUCGUCAGAGCGAUUUAAAUGAGCCGAUUAACAAUUUGAAGAACGCAGUUGAAGCAUUGAUGACAUAAACUUCAGGCUGUUUAAUCUAAUAUGCAUUAAUUAUAUGAAUUCGAGUUUUGUUAGUCAGACUAAUAAAUGUAUCUACAUUCUUGUA
This is an RNA transcript of Schistocerca gregaria, 4403 nucleotides long. It is a transcript of the gene named G protein alpha i subunit-like, with no coding region annotated. The transcript is spliced from 9 exons. The record is from RefSeq and is a predicted model, not a curated record. NCBI's taxonomy places the organism in Eukaryota, Metazoa, Arthropoda, Insecta, Orthoptera, Acrididae.